Molecule: ribosomal RNA, 253 nt
Filed under: uncultured bacterium
Lineage: Bacteria
Description: partial 16S ribosomal RNA
Rfam family: Bacterial small subunit ribosomal RNA
Source: RNAcentral
UACAGAGGUCCCAAGCGUUGUUCGGAUUCACUGGGCGUAAAGGGUGCGUAGGUGGUGAGGUAAGUCGGAUGUGAAAGCUCGGAGCUCAACUCCGAAAUGGCAUUGGAAACUACCUUGCUCGAGGGAUGGAGGGGGGACUGGAAUUCUCGGUGUAGCAGUGAAAUGCGUAGAUAUCGAGAGGAACACCAGUGGCGAAGGCGAGUCCCUGGACAGCUCCUGACACUGAGGCACGAAAGCUAGGGGAGCAAACAGG